AAUUUAAUUACAUAUAGUUUAUGAUUUUGCUAACACACACAAAAAUUUUCUGGUGCAAACUGGGACAGAAAAAUUUUGUUCGUGCUGUUUGUCUUUGAUGAUUUGCAGGACCUGCUUGAAGAAUGGAAAGCAAGUCAAUAUCUGCCUGAAAAAUGGGACACCUUUCAAUUUAAGGUUCAAGAGCCCGCCUGAAAAAUAGGGUGUAUUUUCAAGUUCAGUCAGAAGUAGCAGGAGCCCCGCCUGAAGAAUAGGUUACUUUCGAGAUCAGAAUGCUUAUCUCACCACUUGGGAAAGCGUGAAGAUUCAAGUCAAACUUCAAGAGAAGCCGCAUAGAUAGGAUCUCGUUACUUGUAUUUCCUUUUUAACUUUUGUUUUCAUUUUGAUGUAAUAACUGGAGCCGCGGACCGGAACCUCGACAGGACCUCAAUCGACUCUCCAACUCAGCAUAUUC
Long non-coding RNA from Lycium ferocissimum, 451 nucleotides. RefSeq lists it as uncharacterized. The transcript is spliced from 2 exons. Lineage: Eukaryota; Viridiplantae; Streptophyta; Magnoliopsida; Solanales; Solanaceae. The record is from RefSeq and is a predicted model, not a curated record.